This 257-nucleotide long non-coding RNA is filed under the name Lathyrus oleraceus (garden pea). Its description in RNAcentral is "Pisum sativum (pea) long non-coding RNA (PSAT_LNC023994)". The record is from RNAcentral. Lineage: Eukaryota; Viridiplantae; Streptophyta; Magnoliopsida; Fabales; Fabaceae.
AUAUAGAUUUUUUAUUUCACUAACCCUUCAUUGAAUAUGCAUUCAUUUAAAUUGAUUUAGAAAAUAAAAAUUUGAAUAUUAAGUUAUAUUUGAAAUGCAACUUAGAUCAAACAUAUUUUUUAAAUUGCAUGCAUCUUGUAAUUCAUCUAUCGCUCUUUAACACGUAAAACUUGGUUUAUUUCCCUAGGUUCUUCAAAGUAACAAUUCAUUCUCUAUUAAUUCAUAUUGCAAAAUAUCAAUUUUUUUAAGAAAUUGAA